CAUAGCAACCUUGUCUCAUUGCCUCUUUUGCUUCGUCCGUCGAUGCAACUAGCACUU
RNAcentral lists this small RNA (57 nucleotides) under Arabidopsis thaliana (thale cress). Its description in RNAcentral is "ATSL255720". The record is from RNAcentral. Lineage: Eukaryota; Viridiplantae; Streptophyta; Magnoliopsida; Brassicales; Brassicaceae.